Molecule: ribosomal RNA, 468 nt
Filed under: uncultured bacterium
Lineage: Bacteria
Description: partial 16S ribosomal RNA
Rfam family: Bacterial small subunit ribosomal RNA
Source: RNAcentral
GACGAUCGCUGGCGGCGGGCUGAACACAUGCAAGUCGAACGGAAAGGCCCUGCUUUUGUGGGGUGCUCGAGUGGCGAACGUGUGAGUAACACGUGAGUAACCUGCCCUUGACUUUGGGAUAACUUCAGGCAACUGGGGCUAAUACCGGAUAGGUGCUCCUGCUGCAUGGGGUGGGUUGGAAAGUUUCGGCGGGUGGGGAUGGACUCGCGGCUUAUCAGCUUGUUGGUGGGGUAGUGGCUUACCAAGGCUUUGACGGGUAGCCGGCCUGAGAGGGUGACCGGCAAGAUUGGGACGGAGAUACGGCCAAGACUCCUACGGGAGGUAGCAGUGGGGAAUAUUGCAGAAUGGGCGGAAGCGUGAUGCAGCAACGCCGCGUGCGGGAUGACGGCCUUCGGGUUGUAAACCGCUUUCGCCUGUGACGAAGCGUGAGUGACGGUAAUGGGUACAGAAGCACCGGCUAACUACGUG